This 253-nucleotide ribosomal RNA is filed under the name uncultured bacterium. Its description in RNAcentral is "partial 16S ribosomal RNA". It matches the Rfam family "Bacterial small subunit ribosomal RNA", at positions 524 to 776 of the family's 1533-position model. The record is from RNAcentral.
UACAGAGGGUGCGAGCGUUAAUCGGAAUUACUGGGCGUAAAGCGUGCGUAGACGGUAGCGUAAGUCAGAUGUGAAAGCCCCGGGCUCAACCUGGGAAUUGCAUUUGAGACUGCUCUGCUCGGGUGCGGAAGAGGGAAGCGGAAUUUCCGGUGUAGCGGUGAAAUGCGUAGAUAUCGGAAGGAACACCAGUGGCGAAAGCGGCUUCCUGGUCCGACACCGACGUUCAGGCACGAAAGCGUGGGGAGCACACAGG